RNAcentral lists this ribosomal RNA (253 nucleotides) under uncultured bacterium. RNAcentral describes it as "partial 16S ribosomal RNA". It matches the Rfam family "Bacterial small subunit ribosomal RNA", at positions 524 to 776 of the family's 1533-position model. The record is from RNAcentral.
UACAGAGGUCUCAAGCGUUGUUCGGAUUCAUUGGGCGUAAAGCGUCCGCAGGUGGCAAUGUAAGUCUGCUGUUAAAGAGUCUAGCUCAACUAGAUACAAGCAGUGGAAACUACAUAGCUAGAGUACGUUCGGGGCAGAGGGAAUUCCUGGUGUAGCGGUGAAAUGCGUAGAGAUCAGGAAGAACACCGGUGGCGAAGGCGCUCUGCUAGGCCGUAACUGACACUGAGGGACGAAAGCUAGGGGAGCGAAUGGG